Molecule: ribosomal RNA, 417 nt
Filed under: Streptococcus lutetiensis
Lineage: Bacteria; Bacillati; Bacillota; Bacilli; Lactobacillales; Streptococcaceae
Description: bacterial SSU rRNA
Rfam family: Bacterial small subunit ribosomal RNA
Source: RNAcentral
UGCAGUAGAACGCUGAAGACUUUAGCUUGCUAAAGUUGGAAGAGUUGCGAACGGGUGAGUAACGCGUAGGUAACCUGCCUACUAGCGGGGGAUAACUAUUGGAAACGAUAGCUAAUACCGCAUAACAGCAUUUAACCCAUGUUAGAUGCUUGAAAGGAGCAAUUGCUUCACUAGUAGAUGGACCUGCGUUGUAUUAGCUAGUUGGUGAGGUAACGGCUCACCAAGGCGACGAUACAUAGCCGACCUGAGAGGGUGAUCGGCCACACUGGGACUGAGACACGGCCCAGACUCCUACGGGAGGCAGCAGUAGGGAAUCUUCGGCAAUGGGGGCAACCCUGACCGAGCAACGCCGCGUGAGUGAAGAAGGUUUUCGGAUCGUAAAGCUCUGUUGUAAGAGAAGAACGUGUGUGAGAGUGG